This 254-nucleotide ribosomal RNA is filed under the name uncultured bacterium. RNAcentral's name for it is "partial 16S ribosomal RNA". It matches the Rfam family "Bacterial small subunit ribosomal RNA", at positions 524 to 776 of the family's 1533-position model. The record is from RNAcentral.
UACGGAGGGGGCAAGCGUUGUUCGGAUUUACUGGGCGUAAAGGGUGUGUAGGCGGCUGGAUAAGUCUGGCGUGAAAUCUUCACCGCUUAACGGGAAGGGGUCGCUGGAAACUGUUCAGCUUGAGUAUGGUAGAGGCAAGCGGAAUUCCUGGUGUAGCGGUGGGAAUGUGUAGAUAUCAGGAGGAACACCGGUGGCGAAGGCGGGUCUCUGGGCAGUAACUGACGCUGAGGAGCGAAAGCGUGGGAGCGAACAGG